GGCUUUCGGCCCGGGGUCGGCAACGACCACCCAAGGCCGGAAAGCUAUCCAAACUCGGUCAUUUAGAGGAAGUAAAAGUCGUAACAAGGUCCCCGUUGGUGAACCAGCGGAGGGAUCAUUA
This 121-nucleotide ribosomal RNA is filed under the name Neurospora crassa. RNAcentral describes it as "partial ribosomal RNA". It matches the Rfam family "Eukaryotic small subunit ribosomal RNA", at positions 1705 to 1831 of the family's 1831-position model. The record is from RNAcentral. Lineage: Eukaryota; Fungi; Ascomycota; Sordariomycetes; Sordariales; Sordariaceae.